GGAGGAUUGCUUGAGUCUGGGAGGUUGAGGCUGUAAUGAGUCAUGAUUGUGCCACUGCACUCCAGCCUGAGUGACAGAGCAAGACCCUGUCUC
This is a microRNA precursor of Colobus angolensis palliatus, 93 nucleotides long. NCBI's taxonomy places the organism in Eukaryota, Metazoa, Chordata, Mammalia, Primates, Cercopithecidae. The record is from Ensembl.